GACGAACGCUGGCGGCGUGCUUAACACAUGCAAGUCGAACGGUAAGGCCCUUCGGGGUACACGAGUGGCGAACGGGUGAGUAACACGUGGGUGAUCUGCCCUGCACUUCGGGAUAAGCCUGGGAGACUGGGUCUAAUACCGGAUAGGACCACUGCCUGCAUGGGUGGUGGUGGAAAGCUUUUGCGGUGUGGGAUGGGCCCGCGGCCUAUCAGCUUGUUGGUGGGGUGAUGGCCUACCAAGGCGACGACGGGUAGCCGGCCUGGGAGGGUGACCGGCCACACUGGGACUGGGAUACGGCCCAGACUCCUACGGGAGGCAGCAGUGGGGAAUAUUGCACAAUGGGCGCAAGCCUGAUGCAGCGACGCCGCGUGAGGGAUGACGGCCUUCGGGUUGUAAACCUCUUUCAGCACCGACGAAGCGCAAGUGACGGUAGGUGCAGAAGAAGGACCGGCCAACUACGUGCCAGCAGCCGCCGUAA
This 478-nucleotide ribosomal RNA is filed under the name uncultured bacterium. RNAcentral describes it as "partial 16S ribosomal RNA". It matches the Rfam family "Bacterial small subunit ribosomal RNA", at positions 28 to 523 of the family's 1533-position model. The record is from RNAcentral.